GAAAUGCGAUAAGUAAUGUGAAUUGCAGAAUUCCGUGAGUCAUCGAAUCUUUGAACGCACAUUGCGCCCACUGGUGUUCCGGUCAGCAUGCCUGUUCUAGCGUCAUUCCUGCCCUCAAGCACGGCUUGUGUGUAGGGCCCCCGCCCCCCGGUCCCGGGGGGCGGGCCCGAAAGGCAGCGGCGGCACCGCGUCCGGUACUCGAGCGUAUGGGGCUUCGUCACCCGCUCUUGUAGGCCCGGCCGGCGCCCGCCGGCGACCCUCAUCAAUCUUUCCAGGUUGACCUCGGAUCAGGUAGGGAUACCCGCUGAACUUAA
RNAcentral lists this unclassified non-coding RNA (314 nucleotides) under uncultured Penicillium. RNAcentral describes it as "sequence contains ITS1". The stretch from base 1 to 105 matches the Rfam family "5.8S ribosomal RNA", at positions 50 to 154 of the family's 154-position model. Lineage: Eukaryota; Fungi; Ascomycota; Eurotiomycetes; Eurotiales; Aspergillaceae. The record is from RNAcentral.